GGAUGUGAGGGCGAUCUGGCUACGACAUCUGUCACCCCAUUGAUUGCCAGGGUUGAUUCAGCUGAUCUGGCUGGCUAGGCGGGUGUCCCUUUCCUCCCUCACCACUCCAUGUGCAUCCCUCCCGAAGCUGCACGCUUGGUGGAAGAGGACGACCAUCCCAGAUAGAAGGAGUGUACCAAUCUUCAGUCAAGGGUAUACGAUAAAUUAUUUUUAAAAAAACAAAUCCUGCAGCAAUUCACUUAACAACUGUGUGGCAAGGGAAGUCGUAAAAUGGGGCAAACUCACUGAACAAAUGUUUCACAUAGCAACAGAAAUGUU
Molecule: small nuclear RNA, 318 nt
Filed under: Ophiophagus hannah (king cobra)
Lineage: Eukaryota; Metazoa; Chordata; Lepidosauria; Squamata; Elapidae
Description: 7SK RNA
Rfam family: 7SK RNA
About the family: 7SK was discovered as an abundant small nuclear RNA in the mid-70s but a possible function has only recently been suggested.
Source: Rfam by way of RNAcentral